AUUGAACGCUGGCGGCAGGCCUAACACAUGCAAGUCGAAUGGUAACAGGAAACAGCUUGCUGUUUCGCUGACGAGUGGCGGACGGGUGAGUAAUGUCUGGGAAACUGCCUGAUGGAGGGGGAUAACUACUGGAAACGGUAGCUAAUACCGCAUAACGUCGCAAGACCAAAGAGGGGGACCUUCGGGCCUCCUGCCAUCAGCUGUGCCCAGGUGGGAUUAGCUAGUAGGUGGGGUAACGGCUCACCUAGGCGACGAUCCCUAGCUGGUCUGAGAGGAUGACCAGCCACACUGGAACUGAGACACGGUCCAGACUCCUACGGGAGGCAGCAGUGGGGAAUAUUGCACAAUGGGCGCAAGCCUGAUGCAGCCAUGCCGCGUGUAUGAAGAAGGCCUUCGGGUUGUAAAGUACUUUCAGCGGGGAGGAAGGGAGUAAAGUUAAUACCUUGGCUCAUUGACGUUACCCGCAGAAGAAGCACCGGCUAACUCCGUG
This 490-nucleotide ribosomal RNA is filed under the name uncultured bacterium. Its description in RNAcentral is "partial 16S ribosomal RNA". It matches the Rfam family "Bacterial small subunit ribosomal RNA", at positions 30 to 507 of the family's 1533-position model. The record is from RNAcentral.